AACGAACGCUGGCGGCAUGCCUAACACAUGCAAGUCGAACGAGACCUUCGGGUCUAGUGGCGCACGGGUGCGUAACGCGUGGGAACCUGCCCUUAGGUUCGGAAUAACUCCCCGAAAGGGGUGCUAAUACCGGAUAAUGUCUUCGGACCAAAGAUUUAUCGCCUUUGGAUGGGCCCGCGUUGGAUUAGCUAGUUGGUAGGGUAAAAGCCUACCAAGGCGACGAUCCAUAGCUGGUCUGAGAGGAUGAUCAGCCACACUGGGACUGAGACACGGCCCAGACUCGUACGGGAGGGAGAAGUGGGGAACAUUGGACAGUGGGCGGAAGGAUGAACGAGCAAUGCUGGGUGAGUGAUGAAAGCAGUAGGGUUGUAAAGAUCUUUUAACCGGGAUGAUCAUGACAGUACCGGGAGAAUAAGCUCCGGCUAACUCCGUG
Molecule: ribosomal RNA, 433 nt
Filed under: uncultured bacterium
Lineage: Bacteria
Description: partial 16S ribosomal RNA
Rfam family: Bacterial small subunit ribosomal RNA
Source: RNAcentral